AUUGAACGCUGGCGGCAUGCUUUACACAUGCAAGUCGAACGGCAGCGCGGGCUUCGGCCUGGCGGCGAGUGGCGAACGGGUGAGUAAUACAUCGGAACGUGCCCAGUAGUGGGGGAUAGCUCGGCGAAAGCCGGAUUAAUACCGCAUACGACCUGAGGGUGAAAGCGGGGGAUCUUCGGACCUCGCGCUCUUGGAGCGGCCGAUGGCAGAUUAGCUAGUUGGUGGGGUAAAGGCCUACCAAGGCGACGAUCUGUAGCUGGUCUGAGAGGACGACCAGCCACACUGGAACUGAGACGCGGCCCAGACUCCUGCGGGAGGCAGCAGUGGGGAAUUUUGGACAAUGGGCGAAAGCCUUAUCCAGCAAUGCCGCGUGUGUGAUGAAGGCCUUCGGGUUGUAAAGCACUUUUGGCGGGAACGAAAAGGACUGUGCCAAUACCACGGUUGGAUGACGGUACCCGCAGAAUAAGCACCGGCUAACUACGUG
This 484-nucleotide ribosomal RNA is filed under the name uncultured bacterium. RNAcentral's name for it is "partial 16S ribosomal RNA". It matches the Rfam family "Bacterial small subunit ribosomal RNA", at positions 29 to 507 of the family's 1533-position model. The record is from RNAcentral.